This 344-nucleotide unclassified non-coding RNA is filed under the name Hevea brasiliensis (rubber tree). The record is from RNAcentral. Lineage: Eukaryota; Viridiplantae; Streptophyta; Magnoliopsida; Malpighiales; Euphorbiaceae.
GGCGGAAUAUCCCAAGCGAGAUCUCUCUUUUGCUGCUGCUCGAGAGGCGUCUCCGGCGGCGAGGAUAACUGUGAGGCGCCGGUUGGGCUUCCGUUGCUGGAUCCGCUCCAGAUACCACUUGGGCAUAGUGUAGACUGUGGCGAGCUAGCCAUAGUCUUGGGAUAGUAGUCGGCUGUCUGAGAUGGGUUGAGAAAACUGUCGGCCAUCUGGCGAGUAAGCCCGGCAAGAGUAUCGUCCUCGUCGCUCUCUGAGUCUAGCGGAGAGCUCAGACUCAUGACGGUUUUGUCGUCGGAGAAAUCGUCGGAUAAAAAGUCCGAAGGCAGCCAGAACUCGGCCUCCGCCAU